GGCGCGGGGUGGAGCAGCCUGGUAGCUCGUCGGGCUCAUAACCCGAAGGUCGUCGGUUCAAAUCCGGCCCCUUCCCU
RNAcentral lists this transfer RNA (77 nucleotides) under Citrobacter portucalensis. RNAcentral describes it as "tRNA-Met". It matches the Rfam family "tRNA". Rfam says of the family: Transfer RNA (tRNA) molecules are approximately 80 nucleotides in length. Their secondary structure includes four short double-helical elements and three loops (D, anti-codon, and T loops). The record is from RNAcentral. Lineage: Bacteria; Pseudomonadati; Pseudomonadota; Gammaproteobacteria; Enterobacterales; Enterobacteriaceae.